GCUACGGGUGGCAGCAGUGAGGACUAUUGGUCAAUGGCCGGAAGGCUGAACCAGCCAAGCCGCGUGAAGGACGAAGGUGCCAAGCAUUGUAAACUUCUUUUGUCAAGGGACAAAAUCAGGCUCGAGAGCCUGACCGAGGGUACUUGAAGAAAAAGCAUCGGCUAACUCCUUGCCAGCAGCCGCGGUAAUACGGAGGAUGCGAGCGUUAUCCGGAUUUAGUGGGUUUAAAGGGUGCGUAGGCGGCCUGUUAAGUCAGCGGUACAAGCCCGGGGACCAACGCCGGCGAGCCGUGGAAACUGGCUGUCUUGAGAUGUCGAGAGGUAUGCGGAAUGCGCAGUGUAGCGGUGAAAUGCUUAGAUAUGGCGCAGAACUCCGAUUGCGAAGGCAGCAUACCGGCGGCGAUCUGACGCUGAGGCACGAAAGCGUGGGUAUCGAACAGGAUUAGAUACCCGUGUAGUC
Molecule: ribosomal RNA, 459 nt
Filed under: uncultured bacterium
Lineage: Bacteria
Description: partial 16S ribosomal RNA
Rfam family: Bacterial small subunit ribosomal RNA
Source: RNAcentral